This is a long non-coding RNA of Eurytemora carolleeae, 115 nucleotides long. RefSeq lists it as uncharacterized. The record is from RefSeq and is a predicted model, not a curated record. The transcript has 2 exons. NCBI's taxonomy places the organism in Eukaryota, Metazoa, Arthropoda, Copepoda, Calanoida, Temoridae.
UUUAAGGGAGUGAUUUUGGCGGAAAAUGACUCCUCCUCGGAUGAAGACGUGGCAUUUGACAGAAGUAUGCUGGAAGGAGAUGAUUCUGUAUUCUUGGGCCAACCUCUAAACAGUU